Molecule: long non-coding RNA, 6264 nt
Filed under: Vitis vinifera (wine grape)
Lineage: Eukaryota; Viridiplantae; Streptophyta; Magnoliopsida; Vitales; Vitaceae
Description: long non-coding RNA (VVIN_LNC004771)
Source: RNAcentral
CCUUGUGAAAUCUUCUGCUUCUGCAUAUAUUUUAUCCCCUUCUCUCACAUGCCACCACGUUUGAGCUGCCUUUAUCUCCAUUGCUGCAAGCAUUGAUCCAGUGGCUACAAGAUGGGUGUCUCCAUAGGCUAAUCCCAUCAAUGCUGCAGAAUAGUAAGCAUUCACAGCUUCACUAGUGCUCUCUUGGUUCCGCCCAUCUGCAAAUUCGGUCAGCCCACUAGCCCAAGAAUGCAAUUUCCAUAAAUCAAAACACCUCAAACGAGGAUAGUUGGAACUCGAAUGCCUCCCUAAGGUCAUAAAAUCUGCCAUUAGGGAAUAAGCUUGAGGUCUAUACUUCCUCCCCCAUGCAGGGUCAAUCUUGGCCAGCACUGCAAUUGCAUAAAGAAAAUAACCAAGAUGGAAAUGGUGAUCGUUGUACACUCCAAAACCAAAAUCUGCCCCCGAAUCCGUUGAUCCUUGUCUAGUAACAAGUCCACCCCACUUUCCUUCAUAUAAGAAACCAUUCCCACUAAAAGUCCCAUCCAACCAUGGGGUAAUCGUAUUCUUCAAGAACUUCCUAAUCACCGGUAUCACAUCAAGAAAGCACACCUCCUCUGCAAUCAAUGCCAAUCUCGCCGCCCUGGCAAUCAAUUUCCCAUAAAAAUAAGACGAUGUUGUUGAUAUAUUGGAUGAAUUCAGAUCCUCAACAUCUCUGCAAAGCGCAGAAACAAUUUCAGGAAAUGAUUCUUCCUUGACCCCUUUAAUUGAAUUCCAGGUUAUUGAGACCGGGUCUAAUUUCAAUUUCCAUGAAUCUCCAACAACACCUACAAGCUCACCAUCAAUACUGUUAAACUUGAAAUCAUCCAAAACAGCGACCUCAUCAUCAGCCGACAAAAGCCGAAGAUGUAGAGGAUGAGCCAGCAUGAGCAAGUCUCCCCAUCCCUUCUUAUCCCAUCUGUACUCUAAACAAAAGGGCUUACUCAAUUCAGCUUUCCCUGAUAUGGGAUAGCAAGAGCUGAAUCUAUCAAGGAUCGACUCGAAUCUUGGAUUGGAAUCUGGCAGUAUGGCAAUCCGAAUUAUGCCGGAAUACGCAUCAGAAGUUAUGGAAGAAAUAUCAUGGGUCAAAUUAAUCGCAGAAGAAGUGUAAAGCAGCCAAGUUUGACCGUUGUUGAGCUUAAUGGUGUACUUGGUGCGAGAACUGCUUGGUGAGAAUGAGAGAAUCGCAUGGAUCGUCGUGAUGGAAAGGGCGGUCCCACCGGAGACGGCGCAGGUGAGAAACGGGCUUCCUCGGACCAGGAAAAACCGGAGAUUCGAGGAAGGGAGGUCUAGAGUGACGCUGAGAUCACUGAAGGAAGACACAAUGUGGCGUCUCUGAGAAUCUGGGUCAGUUUUGUUGGAGGCGGAGAUGGUGAGAUCAGGAUUGAAGAUUUGGUAGAUGAAAACAGAGGUCAAGAACUGAGAUGGGUAUGAGAGGGAGAGAGAGGAGGAGGAAGAUUUGAUGAGAUAGGGAUGAAUAUACUCAGGCUGAUCACCAUGUUUGAGAACAAAGUUUUGGAAGAAGGAAUUGGUGGGAAGUGGGGCAGUAAGGAGGUCGGGAGAAAAGAAGGGGGAAGGAUCAGGUAUGACUGAGGAUUCGAUUUUUGGAAAGAGGAAGGGGGAGGAUUGUGGAAUGUGAUGGUGGUGAUGGGGUUCUGCCAUGAUUGGUGAUGAAGGAGACAGAGGAGACAAAGGAGACAAAGGAGGAGGCGGAGAAGGAGGUGGAGUUAUGGUUUUGGGGGUUUUAGGUGGUUUUGAACGUUUUUUGAAGCUCUUGCUAAUCACGAGUUUGACUUUUCUUCUGAUUUUUUUCAACAUCUCGAGGUGAUUGAUUGGUGAGCCUUGACCCAACUGUUAAAUUAUCGAAGAACGCAAAUAGAUCGAGGAUUUGUUAGGGAUUUUGAUACAGAAAACGGAGAAAAUGGAGGCAAUGGAAACGGAGAAAAUGGAGGCUGUUUGCCUCUAAUUGGAUGGAACUUUCCACCCACAUUCACAACCAGAGUGGGGUAGGUUUGGCCCUUUUGGGUGGGACUUGAAUUAAGAAUGUGAAAACAGGGAAAUGGGGGAAGUAAGAGGAAGAAGAAUGGAUUGGAAGGGAAGUUUGUGGGCUCUGCAAGUUAUGGUUUUGAUGAAUGGCAUGAUUGCAAGACAUGUUAAAUGGUUUUCAAAGGAAUAUGUGUAGGGAGGGACAAGACACUGGGGUGGUUAGGGAAUGUUUGGCAUACAAGAAAGUAAUGGGGUGAAUAUUCCUUUUUUAAGUUUUUCAGAGAAUGAGUGAAGCUUCACAACAUUUAGACAAUGGAUGCCACCUAUUUUAACCAAUGCUAAUGUUUUGAACCCUUGAUUUAUAUAACCAAACACAUCUUUCAAUUUCAGGUAUUUGAUUUUGGGUAAUUUCUCUUAUUGCAAGAAAGCCUUGCUACAAAGAAAGAAUAGCAAGAAAAGAAGAAAAAUUUUAGAAAAUGUCAACCAUCCAUGAGAAUAAUGGUGUAGUCAUUCACACAAAGUCUCAUGAGAAUUUAUAACACUUCUUGAUAUCCGUUGUCUUAUAUUUUGGGCUUAGAUUUCAAAAGAAAGAAUCAAUUGUAUUUUGGGCUUGAAAUUUCUUUGGGGUUUUGGCCCAAAUUGGGUUUUUAAAUAAGCAAUUGGGUUUGGUCCAAACUAGUUUGAGCCCAAUUAGUCCAUUAAAAAUGUUUAAAACCCUUUUCAACAAAUUUAAUUUCCAAUAUCAAAAGAUUCAAAAUCUAAUUCGAAGCUUUUGUUUUAACCUAUUUUUGAAUGAAGAACCUACCCAACUGUACCAAAUUACACUACAUAUUAUAGUUAAUACCACAUAAGCAACGCCAACAAUCACUCUAACCCCAUUAUUUCCUGCAUAAUGAGAAUUUUUUUUAUAAUUGUUCUGUGAUUUAAAAAUAGGAAAAUUAUCAAAAAAGUGGGCUAAAGAUGAUAAUGUCUAGGAAGAACUUAUGAAUUCAUAUGAAGGACAAAAUUUAUCAUAGUAUAAUUAUGUAUUUGAAUGUGAUCUUUUAUAUAUAAAUAACUUCAUGAUGAUGAUAAGGAUAGUCUAUCAAUAUUUGCAUAUAUCGGUUUCCAAAAUAUCAUUUUUCCCUUUUGAAUAAUAUUUGCAUAUAAGGAUACUCAAUCAAUAUUUGCAUAUAAAUAACUUCAUGAUGAAUUCAUAUUAUUUUUUCUUUGACCUAUAUAUAUAUAUAUAUAUAGGUCAAAGAAAAAAUAAUAAAAUAUUAAAAUAAAAAAUUAUAUAUUUUUUUUGUUAUUUUCAUUAUAAUAAAUUAAAUUAUUUGAAAUAUACUUUUUUUUUUCAAGUUCUUUUUUUUUCUUCAAAAAACUUGAGAUUUUUUAGAGAAUCCGGUAAAAAAAAUUAAUUUUCAAUCUCUCCUAAAUAAAAAUCACGCCCUAAGGUUAUUAUGUCAUUAUAUAUAUAAUUAAAAGUUUUAUUAUUCUAAUAGAAUAAACAAUGAUUUUUCACGAGUACUCAUCAAUUGAAAAAUAUUCAACUAUUUGUUUGGUAAUAUAGCAUGUGAAUUUUUUUUUAAAAUAAAUUAAAUUAUGUUAUAAUGUAUUAUUACAUUAGUGUAUUUGUAUUAUAAGUAUACUGCAUUUAUGUUGUACCUAUAUUUUAUGACAAAAGUAAUGAUUCUAAAAAUACCUAUUCAUACCCUAUUGUAUCUUAUAUAAAAGUUAUUAGUAUUUUCUCAUUUAAAAAAAAAAAGUAUAUCCAAAUUAUAAAUCUAACCUCUAUUUUUAAAUUAAUUUCAAGGUAAAAAGAUGAAAAGAAUGUUAAGUACAACGUAUGUCUUCAACCAAGAUAAAGGAAAGGAUCAAUUAUGUGUAAAAGAGAGACUCAAAUAAAGUAGAAGAGUUCAAGUAAAGGUGUGAGCAAGUCUUACGCAUGAGAGAUUGGAAAUAAAUAUUAUGGAGAGAGUUAGAGAACGCACAACCAUAAGAGAUAAGAAAUAAAUAUUAUGGAGAGAGUUAGAGAGCGCACAACCAUGAGAGAGAAGGUUUGAAGCCUUGUUGUCAAGUUCAAAGGGAAAUUGGAACUCAAACUAAUGCAUCAACACUAACCCUAACUUUGAGUUUAAUUCUAGGUAGACUCCUAUGAGUUUUAUGAUAAAUCGCACAUAUAGUUUGGAAGCUUUUAAAAGUCAGAAAUCCAACUCUUUAAAUUAUUUGUAAAUCAAAGUUAAAACAAAGAAGAUAUGAUAAACCCAAUUGAAUUACAUGGAAAAAAAAUAGUCUAAUUUAAAAAUUACAAAUUAAGCUCUAAAUAGUGUUCAAUCAUUUGGACCUCAAAGGCAAUACGACAAAGAAAAAGGCACCGGUGAAAUUUGAAACCCAACAUUCAUUUUGAAUAUAGGGACACUAUUUUAAACCCAAAACACGGAGGAAACAAAAUAAGUAUUGGUUGAGUUUGAAAUAAUCGGUAGAUUUCAAACUCAACUAGUUAAUUUUGUACUAAACCAUUUUAGAGACUUAGGCCACUUAUGAGUAUGAGAAAGCAAAACAUUAUUGAGAUUUUGCUAUUUUUUAUCUUAAAAAAGGUUGAAUAGUUCUAAAAUGAUCAUAGCUACCUUUUAGGUAGAUAAAUAACAAGAGUGGCUAUAAAGACUUUGUAGGCAAAAGGAGCAACAAGGGUGUUUUGGUAUUUUCCACAAACUUAUAUUUGUGUGUAUAUGUUAAGGUUAUUAUUAUUAUUAUUAUUAUUAUUCACUUGAAAGUCCUAAACUUUAUUGUUUAAUGAUCUAAUUUUAUUAGAAGUUUGUUCUUUCUUAGGUUCCAAUUUGGGUGGUUCAACUCAAAUCUAACUAACCCAAUUUUGCAUGGACUUAGGUGAUUUAAUUUGUAAAUUAGGUUUGGCUUGGUCAAAAAAUAUCAACCUAGAUUAAAUUUAGGUUGGGCUUGGGUAAGGGUCUCAAGAAACCUCAACCUAGCACAAACCCAAUUGUAUAUUUGUAUAAAAUUUAAAUUAUAAAUUUUUAUGUAUGUAUUGUAUGUAUGUAUAUAUAUUAUUUCAUGGUAUUGUACUGAGAAUCUUUUUGGUAAUGCUUUCAAAAAUUAUUUCUAGCUUAAAAAGUCAUUUUUGAAAAAAUGAUCAGACAAAAUUUAAAAAAUACUUUUAUAAAGUUAAAAAAUCACUUGUAGUGUAAACGACCUGAACAGUUGGAGAAAAGAAACUUAGCAUUUCACAUGAUGCUGAAGCAGAUGUGGAAUAGUUGUUCUUCAGUUUCAGCUAAGAAAUUGAGAAGACAGGGCAAUAUGCAUAAAUCAAUCCAGUCAUGGCUGCCCAAAGGAAAGAUUCAUCCAAUCUUCGGGCAUAAUUUAUUCGACUACAUCCCGAAUGUAAGGCAAAGAAUUUCACUGAUAAUACUGGCCAAACCAGGAUAAUUUUCCUCCUUCAAGUCCCCCUUCCCCUUCAUCUCCUCUGCUGUGAAUCCACCACAAAAGGUUCGUAAGUGAGUUUCCAUCAUCAUAACCACUCAGUUUCCCGAUCUUCUCCAAUGCCACUUCUUUGUCAUAAAUCCCUUCCAUGGCAUAUAGAAACCCCUUCCACCCUUCUCCAACUCCCUCCCGUCCCAAAGCUGGCAAUGUCCAUUUCACCAGCUCUCUCACAAACCCCACAUCGGAGAACAGAACCUCGGUGAUGGGCAAUACAGGUAACACCUGAAUUCCAAGCCUGCACUCUCUCCACUCAGGAGGAGCAAACCAAAGUCCACCGUCCCUCUUGUUAGCCCACAGAAUACCCACCACCCUGUUCUCCCUUGUGAAAUCUUCUGCAUACAUUUUAUCCCCUUCUCUCACAUGCCACCAUGUUUGAGCUGCCUCUAUCUCCAUUGCUGCAAGCGUUGACCCAGUGGCUACAAGAGGGGCAUCUCCAUAGGCUAAUCCCAUCAAUGCUGCAGAAUAGUAGGUAUUCACAGCUUCACUAGUGCUCUCCUGGUUCCUCCCGCCUGAAGAUUCAGUCACCCCACUUGCCCAAGAAUGCAAUUUCCAUAAAUCAAAACACCUCAAACGAGUAUAGUUGGAAUUCGAAUUCCUCCCUAAGUUCAUGACAUCCGCCAUUAGGGAAUAAGCUUGAGGUCUAUACUUCCUCCCCCAUGCAGGGUCAAUCUUGGCCAGCACUGCAAUUGCAUAAAGAAAAUAACCCAGAUGGAAAUGGUGAUCGUUGUACACUCCAAAACCAAAAUCUGCCCCCGAUUCCGUUGAUCCUUGUUUAGUAACAAGUCC